Molecule: ribosomal RNA, 255 nt
Filed under: uncultured bacterium
Lineage: Bacteria
Description: partial 16S ribosomal RNA
Rfam family: Bacterial small subunit ribosomal RNA
Source: RNAcentral
CGCGUGGGUAACCUGCCCUUUUGUGGGGAACAACUUCGAGAAAUCGGAGCUAAUACCGCAUAAUAAUAGAGGAUCGCAUGAUUCUUUAAGGAAAGAUGGCCUCUGAAGAUUGCUAUCGCAAAAGGAUGGACCCGCGUCUGAUUAGCUAGUUGGAAGGGUAACGGCCUACCAAGGCAACGAUCAGUAGCCGGCCUGAGAGGGUGAACGGCCACAUUGGGACUGAGACACGGCCCAAACUCCUACGGAAGGCAGCAG